AUGCCAAUGCUGCCGCCACAUAGCUCUGGCUCCUGCACCUCACCGCCGCCUCCCCAGAGCUGCACUCCGGCUACUACUUCGUCACCGUCGCCAGCGCGGAAUCAGUCGAGGACAGGUUCGAGGGCCGGAUCCCCAUCCCGCACACGGAGCGCGUCGUGGCGCCAGACUCGACGGGCAGACUCGACGGCGAUGCCCACCUCGCGGCGCAUCCGGUUUGCCGCCCGGCGAUGGAUCCAAGCGGCGUCGGCCCCCGCGCAGCCCCGACGACGGAUCCGAGGGCGACGCCCGACCCCCGACCCCCUGUGCUAG
RNAcentral lists this ribosomal RNA (309 nucleotides) under Triticum aestivum (bread wheat). RNAcentral's name for it is "partial small subunit ribosomal RNA". Lineage: Eukaryota; Viridiplantae; Streptophyta; Magnoliopsida; Poales; Poaceae. The record is from RNAcentral.